GUUUGAUCCUGGCUCAGAACGAACGCUGGCGGCGUGCCUAACACAUGCAAGUCGUACGAGAAAUCCUGGGCAACCGGGAGAGUAAAGUGGCGCACGGGUGAGUAACGCGUGGGUAACCUACCCUUGAAUUGGGGAUAACUCUUCGAAAGGGGAGUUAAUACCGAAUAAUAUUCCAAUUUCUACGGGAGUUGGAAUCAAAGAUGGCCUCUGCAUGCAAGCUAUCGUUUAAGGAUGGGCCCGCGUACCAUUAGCUAGUUGGCAGGGUAAUGGCCUACCAAGGCAACGAUGGUUAGCUGGUCUGAGAGGAUGGCCAGCCACACUGGAACUGAGACACGGUCCAGACUCCUACGGGAGGCAGCAGUGGGGAAUCUUGCGCAAUGGGGGAAACCUUGACGCAGCAACGCCGCGUGGGUGAUGAAGGCCUUCGGGUCGUAAAGCCCUGUCAGGUGGGAAGAAACUCGUGGAUAUUAAUACUACCCACGCUUGACGGUACCACCGGAGGAAGCACCGGCUAACUCCGUGCCAGCAGCCGCGGUAA
This 538-nucleotide ribosomal RNA is filed under the name uncultured delta proteobacterium. RNAcentral's name for it is "bacterial SSU rRNA". It matches the Rfam family "Bacterial small subunit ribosomal RNA", at positions 11 to 523 of the family's 1533-position model. Lineage: Bacteria; Deltaproteobacteria. The record is from RNAcentral.